AACGAACGCUGGCGGCAUGCCUAACACAUGCAAGUCGAACGAGACCUUCGGGUCUAGUGGCGCACGGGUGCGUAACGCGUGGGAACCUGCCCUUAGGUUCGGAAUAACUCCCCGAAAGGGGUGCUAAUACCGGAUAAUGUCUUCGGACCAAAGAUUUAUCGCCUUUGGAUGGGCCCGCGUUGGAUUAGCUAGUUGGUAGGGUAAAAGCCUACCAAGGCGACGAUCCAUAGCUGGUCUGAGAGGAUGAUCAGCCACACUGGGACUGAGACACGGCCCAGACUCCUACGGGAGGCAGCAGUAGGGAAUAUUGGACAAUGGGCGAAAGCCUGAUACAGCAAUGCCGCGUGAGUGAUGAAGGCCUUAGGGUUGUAAAGCUCUUUUACCCGGGAUGAUAAUGACAGUACCGGGAGAAUAAGCUCCGGCUAACUCCGUG
This 433-nucleotide ribosomal RNA is filed under the name uncultured bacterium. RNAcentral's name for it is "partial 16S ribosomal RNA". It matches the Rfam family "Bacterial small subunit ribosomal RNA", at positions 29 to 507 of the family's 1533-position model. The record is from RNAcentral.